AGUGAACGCUGGCGGUAGGCCUAACACAUGCAAGUCGAACGGCAGCACAGUAAGAGCUUGCUCUUACGGGUGGCGAGUGGCGGACGGGUGAGGAAUACAUCGGAAUCUACUUUUUCGUGGGGGAUAACGUAGGGAAACUUACGCUAAUACCGCAUACUACCUACGGGUGAAAGCAGGGGAUCUUCGGACCUUGCGCGAUUGAAUGAGCCGAUGUCGGAUUAGCUAGUUGGCGGGGUAAAGGCCCACCAAGGCAACGAUACGUAGCUGGUCUGAGAGGAUGAUCGGCCACACUGGAACUGAGACACGGUCCAGACUCCUACGGGAGGCAGCAGUGGGGAAUAUUGGACAAUGGGCGAAAGCCUGAUCCAGCCAUACCGCGUGGGUGAAGAAGGCCUUCGGGUUGUAAAGCCCUUUUGUUGGGAAAGAAAAGCAGCAGGUUAAUACCCCGAUGUUCUGACGGUACCCAAAGAAUAAGCACCGGCUAACUUCGUG
This 492-nucleotide ribosomal RNA is filed under the name uncultured bacterium. RNAcentral describes it as "partial 16S ribosomal RNA". It matches the Rfam family "Bacterial small subunit ribosomal RNA", at positions 29 to 507 of the family's 1533-position model. The record is from RNAcentral.